GAAAACAGGCAUCACCCUUGCACGCAACAUGCAGCUGGGAUAGCCAAACUGAUACAAAAAACUGCACACAUAGUCAUGGGACAUUCACUGUUGGUGUUAACGUCACACAGUGUAGUGGCAUAUUCCUGGAAGCUCCUAACAUUUCAUUCACACACGAAGGCGUGAACAUGGCAGACUGUUUUUCAGAAGGAGAACCACACGUGUGUGCAGAACUUGUGGCAACAGAAGAGAAGGAAAGCAGAGAGACUACAAGGGGCAGCAUCUGCGCAGAGGGCAGAAAUAAAAGCAGUGAUCGAAGCGUUAAAGCUUGCCCAAGGAUCACAGGUAAAUGUGUACACAGAUUGAGCUUAUGUUGCAGGAACAGUGCAUUUGGAACUUUGCCAAUGGAUGAGGUGGUAAGAUGCCAAAAGGGGGCGCCACUUGAAGAGAAAAACCUGUGGAAGCAAUGAGGCACCACUGAAACAAAUGGAUGCUGGAGGGGUCCAGACGGUAGGUUAAUUCUGCCACCUGAAAAAAAACAAGAGCUGCUUCAAGAAGCUCACGGGGUGGGACAUGUUGGGACUAAACAGAUGAUGCAUAAUCUUAAAGACUGGUGGCAACCCCAAAUGAUCCACAUGGUGAAACAGUUUGUAAACAAUUGUGAAAUGUGUGGACAGUUUAACCCUAAGAAAACUUUGAAACCACAGCAGGGACAGUUUCCUCCACUCGCAUGUCCAGGGAAAGAGGUUGUGUUGGAUUUUACUGACAUGAUAAACACGGUGCAAGGCAAAAAAUAUUUGCUGGUUUGUGUUGAUGCUUUCACAGGAUGGCCUGAAGCGUGGCCAGCAGCGAGAGAAGAUAGCAAAACUGUCAUAAAAUGUCUGAUCAACCAUUACAUCCCCAGGCACGGUUUUCCAGAAAAAA
Xiphophorus hellerii (green swordtail) is the source of this 903-nucleotide long non-coding RNA. RefSeq lists it as uncharacterized. Lineage: Eukaryota; Metazoa; Chordata; Actinopteri; Cyprinodontiformes; Poeciliidae. The record is from RefSeq and is a predicted model, not a curated record. The transcript is spliced from 2 exons.